UACGUAGGGUGCAAGCGUUAAUCGGAAUUACUGGGCGUAAAGCGUGCGCAGGCGGUUUUGUAAGUUUGUCGUGAAAGCCCCGGGCUCAACCUGGGAAUGGCGAUGAAGACCGCAAGGCUUGAAUCUGGCAGAGGGGGGUAGAAUUCCACGUGUAGCAGUGAAAUGCGUAGAGAUGUGGAGGAACACCGAUGGCGAAGGCAGCCCCCUGGGUCAAGAUUGACGCUCAUGCACGAAAGCGUGGGGAGCAAACAGG
This 253-nucleotide ribosomal RNA is filed under the name uncultured bacterium. RNAcentral describes it as "partial 16S ribosomal RNA". It matches the Rfam family "Bacterial small subunit ribosomal RNA", at positions 524 to 776 of the family's 1533-position model. The record is from RNAcentral.